GUCCGAGUUCGUCGAACUCGUCGUCAAUUCAAUUAUGAAUCAAGAGAUGAACCGAUUUUGGAUCCAAUGGCUAAGUUUCGGACGGAAAUAUUUUUUUACGUGAUUGACACUGCCAUUAAUUCAGUCGUUGAAAGAAACUUGACGAUUACCAAUUGAAAACAUGUUGUACUGCCUUAAAUAACGCAUUGUCCGUCGGAGAAAAAUGCGACAUUUCUCCAGAUGAUCUUUUUAUCGAAUUGCGAUCUCUCUCCCAUCGAUUUCCUUUACCAAGCGAAGACGGAAAAAUAAUUGAUUCUUGUCCUCUUGCUGCCUUGACCUUUAUCGUUCAAAAUGGAUUGUCGUCAGUUUAUCCUAAUACUGUGAUUGCAUUACGAAUUUUGCUGACCCUUCCAGUUUCUGUUGCGCAAGGAGAAAGAAGUUUUUGCAAAUUGAAACUAAUAAAAACAUAUCUUCGCUCAUUAAUGGGACAAGAAAAACUAGAUGGGUUAGCAAUGAUUUCAAUCGAAAGAGAAAUUGUCGAAAAUAUUGAUCUCAAUGAAGCGAUUGAGGAAUUUGCCCAAAAAAAAUCGCGUAAAGUGCCGAUCUAAGUCUCACUAUUCGAUUUGCAAUUCAAUUUGCAAGAUAUUCUCGUGUCUCGUCAUUUAUCAGCAAUCUUGUAUCGUGUAUGAUUUUAAGUGAUACUGUUAUUUAUCCAGAAAUAUAACUAAUCCAGAUGUUAACUAAAGCUUAUGUUAAAAUCAACUAUAUGUUUUCGUAUAUAAAUUUUUUUAAGGGGCGGCAAAGCCGGGAAAAAAAAUUUGCACUCCUGUCAUUUUAGGGUCGGGGAGGCCCUGGUAUUGAGAUCCGCGAUUUUGUUUAUAAGAGCCUAGCAAUAUUGAAUAAAAAGAGGAUUAAUAAUAAAAUGUAUUAGUAACUUUUUAUUUUACUUACUACUGAACGUCUGGGGUGUGUGUCUAACCAUUGAUUUUCCUUUGCAGUGCAAGGUAGUGAUGUAGCACUAAUUACACUGUAAAGAACUGCACAAACAUGACAGCAAACACCACCAAGCCUGCAAUGAAACGUAAGGUAGUUUGUUAGUUAAAUGUUGCUUUAUGCUAUGAAUUAUGAACACAUAACUCACCCAGCUGUACACUGGCAAUGGCCAGCAAUUAUGGUUUUAUUGCUACUAAUACUUCCCCAAGGCAUCAGUUCCUUUUUUCUAAGAGACUGUGAGUGGUGAACUUGUGCUUUUACAAGAACUUUGCCAUCCUCCAAAUGGAUUGCUGAGAGCGCAGAGACCCAACCACUUUCCACGUACUUGAUUGCUUCAUGUAUGGUCUUGAUUGCAUUAAGUUGCAUUUUUGUAUCCCUGCUCCGUCUUACAAUUAAAUACAUGUAAAGCUCAUGCUCUCUUAUAGGUGGUAAAAACUUUUCAAUAACACUGAUAGUUUUCUGCCACAUUUCUUUUGGCAGUACCACAGACCAAGAAUAGAAAGACUGUGAUCGGCCUAUACGUCCCCAUAAACCAUGCUCGUGCCUGCCGCAAGUUGGCGCUGCCUCUGCAAGCCGUACUUUUUUGCGGAUUUUUCCGUUUCCCUACUGAUUAGAUGCUUCACACACCCGGGAUUUGUGAAUAAACUAAGAUAGAUAA
This is a long non-coding RNA of Daphnia magna, 1630 nucleotides long. RefSeq lists it as uncharacterized. The transcript is spliced from 2 exons. The record is from RefSeq and is a predicted model, not a curated record. Lineage: Eukaryota; Metazoa; Arthropoda; Branchiopoda; Diplostraca; Daphniidae.